AUUGAACGCUGGCGGCAGGCCUAACACAUGCAAGUCGAGCGAGCGGCGGGGGGGUGAGUAAUGCCUGGGAAUUGCCCAGUCGAGGGGGAUAACAGUUGGAAACGCCUGCUAUUCCCGCAUACGACUGGAUUCCGCAGGGGGGGUUUGGUAGUUGGUGGGGUAAUGGCUCACCAAGGCGACGAUCCCUAGCUGGUCUGAGAGGAUGAUCAGCAAAACUGGAACUGAGAACAGGCCCAGAUUCCUACGGGAGGCAGCAGUGGGGAAUAUUGGCAAAUGGGGGAAACCCUGAUGCAGCCAUGCCGGGUGUGGGAAGAAGGCCUUCGGGUUGUAAAGCCCUUUCAGCGAGGCGGCGUUACUCGCAGAAAAAGCACCGGCUAACUACGUGCCAGCAGCCGCGGUAAUUC
Molecule: ribosomal RNA, 404 nt
Filed under: uncultured bacterium
Lineage: Bacteria
Description: partial 16S ribosomal RNA
Rfam family: Bacterial small subunit ribosomal RNA
Source: RNAcentral